Molecule: unclassified non-coding RNA, 403 nt
Filed under: soil metagenome
Description: partial contains 5.8S ribosomal RNA, internal transcribed spacer 2, and large subunit ribosomal RNA
Rfam family: 5.8S ribosomal RNA (bases 1-121)
Source: RNAcentral
GAUGAAGAACGUAGCGAAAUGCGAUAAGUAAUGUGAAUUGCAGAAUUCAGUGAAUCAUCGAAUCUUUGAACGCACCUUGCGCCCUUUGGCUAUUCCGAAGGGCAUGCCUGUUUGAGUAUCAUGAACACCUCAACUCUUCAUGGUUUUCCAUGAAGGGCUUGGACUUUGGGGGUCUUGCUGGCCUUUAGUCAGCUCCUCUCAAACGAAUCAGCUUUCCAGUGUUUGGCAGCGUCACAGGUGUGAUAACUAUCUACGCUUGUGGUUUUCUGCCAGGUAAUCCUCAGUGAUGGGGAUUCGCUGGGGCUUAUAAAUGUCUCUCCUCAGCGAAGACAGCUUUGUGAACGUUUGAUCUCAAAUCAGGUAGGACUACCCGCUGAACUUAAGCAUAUCAAUAAGCGGAGGA